This 253-nucleotide ribosomal RNA is filed under the name uncultured bacterium. RNAcentral's name for it is "partial 16S ribosomal RNA". It matches the Rfam family "Bacterial small subunit ribosomal RNA", at positions 524 to 776 of the family's 1533-position model. The record is from RNAcentral.
UACGUAGGGGGCAAGCGUUGUCCGGAAUCAUUGGGCGUAAAGCGCGUGUAGGCGGCUUGGUAAGUCUGCUCUGAAAGCCCGGGGCUCAACCCCGGGAGGCGGGUGGAUACUGUCAAGCUCGAGUGCGGCAGAGGAGACUGGAAUUCCUGGUGUAGCAGUGAAAUGCGUAGAUGUCAGGAGGAACACCGAUGGCGAAGGCAGGUCUCUGGGCUGACACUGACGCUCAUGCACGAAAGCGUGGGGAGCAAACAGG